GCACAGUGCCAUCAUCUAUGAAGACCCCCAGCACCACCCGCUGCUCCGCCUUUGCUGGAACAAGCAGGACCCCAACUACUUGGCUACAAUGGCCAUGGACGGCAUGGAGGGCAGUCUGCUGUAGAUUCUCUCAGCCUGUCGGUAGCCAUGUUUCUCUCCAACGGUUCUGCGUUGAAAUUGAAACAUUGGUCAGCCAAAGAAGCUUUUUCUUUUCUUUUCCUUUUUAUAUGAAUUCAGAAAGGAUUGUGUUUGUUUUUUUUCUUCCUUCUGUCUGGCAUGAAAUAUUUGUUUCUUGACACUUAACCAAUGUUUGACAUCGCUACUUUAUUUGAUCGGCGGUCAUCCUGGAUGUACGUGUGCCUUGCACCCCGGUGGCUCGGCUGAACAACCAUCGCGCUGGUGUCAACGGCAUCGCCUGGGCCCCCCACUCGUCAUGUCACAUCUGCACUGCAGCCGACGACCACCAGGCUCUGAUCUGGGACGUCCAGCAGAUGCCACGAGCCAUUGAGGAUCCCAUCCUGGCCUACACUUCUGAAGGGGAGGUCAACAACGUGCAGUGGGCGUCCACGCAGCCGGACUGGAUCGCCAUCUGCUACAACAACUGCUUGGAGAUCCUGCGUGUCUAAAACCACCAACACUUGUGUGGAGAAGAGGAACUCCUUCUUGUUUCAGAUUUCGGACUUGGUUUUUUAGUCUUCGUCCAACUGCUUUCAAGACAAGGAUGAGGUCGCGAGUGAACUUUCCGAGCGUGUUUGGAGUGUCGCACACCAACCCCACGAUAACCCAGUUUACAUUCUGUCCCAUGUCUCUACUCCGUUGUCCUUCUAUUAAACGUAUGAAGCUCUUAUUUAUUUUGCUCACACCGCAGGGUUCAGAAGCUUUGAAAAUCCAAGCGGCUGUGUAUGAAAAUCCGAUUUAUUUGUAUGCCUCUCGUGUCAUUUCAGCCAGUUGUGAGACUAUCAGGAAGGGUUAAGAUGUCGGGUGCCUCAUCUUUUUGAGUUGUAAAGGUUGAAACAAACUGCUGAAGAUGACCUCUCUGGGAAGAUGUCUUCUUGUGGACUCGUACCAUGUUAUUGAUGAUUUCAAAGGUCAGUCUACGAUGGUCCCUGUAAGAGUUUUUUCAAACGGGUGUUUGUCCAGUUUUAUAAAUGGUCAGAUAACCUGAGAGGGAUUCGUAUUCUGUCCUCAUAUGAUGCGUUUUAGUUUGGCUGGUGACGCUGUGAGGCCGCCACGUCCAGCAUCACUCGGAACCUCCCGGAGCAGUGUCGCCCCCGCCCCCCCUAUGAACUCCCCACUUAUUCUCUUCUUUAUUUGUUUUGUGCUUUUGAAAGCUGCAUUUUCUUUUGUGUUUUUAGAGUUGUGAAGAUGGGAGGAGCGUGAAACAACUUCCUGGCUGAGUCUGCCUCUCUUGUUGUUGUUUCCCAGUAAUUAAAGGGUCAUGUCCUUGUAGCAUGCCAUUACAAGGCAACAAUGUACAUACAUAUAAAUAUAUCAACUAGAGAUGUUGGUAAGACAAGUGUU
This is a long non-coding RNA of Cyclopterus lumpus (lumpfish), 1521 nucleotides long. RefSeq lists it as uncharacterized. NCBI's taxonomy places the organism in Eukaryota, Metazoa, Chordata, Actinopteri, Perciformes, Cyclopteridae. The record is from RefSeq and is a predicted model, not a curated record. The transcript is spliced from 2 exons.